UACGUAGGGGGCAAGCGUUGUCCGGAUUCAUUGGGCGUAAAGAGCGUGUAGGCGGCCAGGUAGGUCGGUUGUGAAAACUGGAGGCUCAACCUUCAGAGGUCGACCGAAACCAUCUGGCUAGAGUCCGGGAGAGGAGAGUGGAAUUCCUGGUGUAGCGGUGAAAUGCGCAGAUAUCAGGAAGAACACCCGUGGCGAAGGCGGUUCUCUGGGACGGUACUGACGCUGAGACGCGAAAGCGUGGGGAGCAAACAGG
Molecule: ribosomal RNA, 253 nt
Filed under: uncultured bacterium
Lineage: Bacteria
Description: partial 16S ribosomal RNA
Rfam family: Bacterial small subunit ribosomal RNA
Source: RNAcentral